This 253-nucleotide ribosomal RNA is filed under the name uncultured bacterium. RNAcentral describes it as "partial 16S ribosomal RNA". It matches the Rfam family "Bacterial small subunit ribosomal RNA", at positions 524 to 776 of the family's 1533-position model. The record is from RNAcentral. RNAcentral also lists the same sequence under 1 other name.
UACGAAGGGGGCUAGCGUUGCUCGGAAUUACUGGGCGUAAAGGGCGCGUAGGCGGAUGUUUAAGUUGGGGGUGAAAGCCCGGGGCUCAACCUCGGAAUAGCCUUCAAUACUGGGCAUCUUGAGUACGGGAGAGGUGAGUGGAACUCCGAGUGUAGAGGUGAAAUUCGUAGAUAUUCGGAAGAACACCAGUGGCGAAGGCGACUCACUGGCCCGUUACUGACGCUGAGGCGCGAAAGCGUGGGGAGCAAACAGG